Molecule: ribosomal RNA, 399 nt
Filed under: uncultured bacterium
Lineage: Bacteria
Description: bacterial SSU rRNA
Rfam family: Bacterial small subunit ribosomal RNA
Source: RNAcentral
GAACGAAGCCUUCGGGCUUAGUGGCGCACGGGUGCGUAACUCGUGGGAAUCUGCCCCUGGGUUCGGAAUAACAGUUAGAAAUGACUGCUAAUACCGGAUGAUGACGUAAGUCCAAAGAUUUAUCGCCCAGGGGAUGAGCCCGCGUAGGAUUAGCUUGUUGGUGAGGUAAAAGCUCACCAAGGCGACGAUCCUUAGCUGGUCUGAGAGGAUGAUCAGCCACACUGGGACUGAGACACGGCCCAGACUCCUACGGGAGGCAGCAGUGGGGAAUAUUGGACAAUGGGCGAAAGCCUGAUCCAGCAAUGCCGCGUUGAGUGAUGAAGGCCUUAGGGUUGUAAAGCUCUUUGACCCGGGAUGAUAAUGACAGUACCGGGAGAAUAAGCUCCGGCUAACUCCGCG